GGUCUUUAGACACAUGGUUUGAAGCCACGGAUUGUUUCUGCCUCGCGUUCACUUCUUUCCGAAAUAACACGGACUAGUUCAUGUUUUCAGCCAAUUGCAAAGCUGCUCUCUCCCCUGUCCCACCUACCACUUCCUCUUCUCUGUCUCGCUUUCACCCUCACGGUACUUCCUGCAUCCUGUUUCUUACGCCCAGACCUAGGCUAACGUGGUGGGUAAAUUGCACGAUCUCUAAUCCGGUUUGAAUCGUUCGCCGGCCGCCCACCCACGUGUUCAGAUGGCGGAGAGCGGUGUUCCCGGGAUGGAAUCGGGUCCUGGAGCUGUUGAAUUCGGAACACCGGGGUCACCCCGUUAGGUGGGGCCGAAGGUUAGUGGGAAAACGGCUGAAAAUGGAACUGAUUUGCUGGGAGGAACCAAUUGCUUUGGACCAAUGCCAUGUUCCAGAUACCGGGAGCAAUGAACUGAUGGUGGAGAGGCUGGAGACGGACUCCCCAACCCCACAAAACGAUUGGGGCUGAAGUGGACAAAUGAAGUAACUGAAUCUUGAAAAUGGGCUGAAAUGAAACAUCCCAGACCUGAGCACAGUAGGGGGUUAUAAAGGAUGGAAGACAGGAAGUAUCAGCAUUACAGAUGAGGAGAGCUGAAGGCUGAGAUCUUUCAAAGGAGCCCAGUGGAGUUAGGUACCCAAACCAGAAAUUUAAAAGGACUUGUUUGAGGUCACCCAGGGAGCCUGUGGCGGAGCUAAAAACUGAGCCCAGAUGUCCUAGUCCAGAGCCUUAACCACACAACUAUCUUGAGGGUGGAGUUGGAAAGCUUGGGAGCCUAUGUUGGAACACAAGGCAGUUGGGGGCAGGAACUCUAAAAACAAAAUUGGAUGGUUCCUCCUCUCCCUGGAUCCUUUAUAGGAAUCACAGAUGGAUGAUUUGAGAUGAGCCUUCAAGGAAAAUGUCUCUCUCUCUCUACCCAUGUCAAUUGUAAGAGAAUUUGGGCCCUGAAGAUUAAAAGUUUUGGCCCGUCUCUGAUCUGUAUUACAAGGACUCUUCAAAGUUAUGUCCAGGAAAGUCUGUACUAAAAAUAGGAUUAAACUAGAAUGGAUGUGUAA
Molecule: long non-coding RNA, 1099 nt
Organism: Mauremys reevesii (Reeves's turtle)
Lineage: Eukaryota; Metazoa; Chordata; Testudines; Geoemydidae
Exons: 7
Source: RefSeq, a predicted model, not a curated record